Carassius gibelio (silver crucian carp) is the source of this 2372-nucleotide long non-coding RNA. RefSeq lists it as uncharacterized. The transcript is spliced from 12 exons. Lineage: Eukaryota; Metazoa; Chordata; Actinopteri; Cypriniformes; Cyprinidae. The record is from RefSeq and is a predicted model, not a curated record.
AAAAAUACUACUUUGUUAAUUCUGUGACACUGAAAAAGUACUAGUAAGGCACACGGUGUGUUUUAUACAGUCUAUGGGCAGCUGAAGAGUCUGGCUCAUUUUCAAAUAAUGUUACCGUUAACUUUUUGAUUUUUUUUAACAUUAAUGUUAACGCCUUAAUGCGUUUUCAGAAGUUUCUCGGAGGGAAAAUGUAAAAGCGGGUUAUUAAAGAGAAGUCCUGACUGCUUUUCCACCGUGUUUUUCACUCUUUUACAGGCUUUCAGAAAUAAUCCGGUGAAAUAAUAUGAUGUUUGUGUAAAUGCUGUGUGUGCGUUGAGUCCUGUGCGAGCUGGGAGCAGAGUUGCCAUGGAAACGGGGCGUCAACACAAAAACCGUUACUGGCAAGCAGUAAUCUCCGUCUCUCGCUGCGGUUUACACUGUUUUGGAAACGGUUUAGUGUCUUCGGAAAAGUCCGUUAUCAUUUUAGCAGUUUUUAGAUGUUUGUUUGUGUAAAUGCUGUGUGCGCGUUGAGUCCUGCGCGAGCGGGGAGCAGAGUUGCCAUGGAAACGGGGCAUCAACACAAAAACCGUUACUGGCAAGCAGUAAUCUCCGUCUCUCGCUGCAGUUUACACUGUUUUGGAAACGGUUUAGUUUCUUCGGAAAAGUCCGUUAUCAUUUUAGCAGUUUUUAGAUGUUUGUUUGUGUAAAUGCUGUGUGCGCGUUGAGUCCUGCGCGAGCGGGGAGCAGAGUUGCCAUGGAAACGGGGCAUCAACACAAAAACCGUUACUGGCAAGCAGUAAUCUCCGUCUCUCGCUGCAGUUUACACUGUUUUGGAAACGGUUUAGUUUCUUCGAAAAAGUCCGUUAGCAUCUUAGCAGUUUUCAGGAGGACAGAAAGAAACUCUACAGAACAGAAGUGAAGCUCCAAGAUUUCAACAUUUCUGAAGGGAGAUUCUGACUUAGAAAUACAGGUGACCUGAAGAAGCUCAUGAAAAACAUGAAUAUGCCUUUUUCAGAAUACAUUUCACCAAUUUUAAGAAGUCCCUGACAUCAUAACCUUGUUUCCUUCUAAUGAACCUGGAACUGCAGAGUAAAUAUUGUUGACUCUGUGUCAGAUUGCUUGUUUUGUUCCUGGAUUUUUCAGUGAUGAUGAGCAGAGUCUGAGUGAACCUGCUGUCAGACAGGUUGGCCUGAUUGACGAUGCCAUCGUCCAUCGCCGAUGGCUGAUAGACAUCACGAUGCUGCGCCGGAAACAGCGUCAUCAGCUCCAGUAUCUCGCCCGUGCAUCUGUUGUCAUGCGACAGAGAAGUCACGUUCUAUAGACAGUUUCUAUAGACAGUUGUGAACGUGCUGACAGCUGGUUGCCCAGGCUAUGGAUUAAAGGGCCAGCAGAGCCCUGCUCACCCUGACGGCCCACUGCUGCUGUCAGACAACAUCUCCAAGAUGCUAGAAACUGCAGGACCAGAUGGCCAUCCCAAGGUUUCUAGAGAUUACAGCAGCUCCAGACUGAAUCCAAACUCACUCGUGAAGACUUCAGAUGACACCAACGCUCACAAAGACUACAGACGACAACUGUACAUGAACACACAAAACAUUGGACACACAAAACAAAUAUUAUCCUUAUUUUGCCUAUAAGGGUAAAUUUGAUGAUUUUCGAACUGCUUUAUUGUAACGUCUCUUAUAUCUGUAAAUGAACAAUAUUUACUCUCUGAGUUAUGUGGACCUACAUGUCCCCUUUUAUUUGUAAGCAUCACUUUAAAAAUGUUGAAAGAUAAUGUUAAUGUUAACUGAAUACAAAACUAGAGACUUGUUUAGUAAGAUUUUAUCAGAAAAUAUUUUUGAACUUUUAUCAUGCAACAUUUUAAUUGCUUAAUUAGUAUUGUUUGCCUGGUUUUAUUUUGUGUUUAUGUAACUCUUUUUAAAAAGUUCUUGGCAUAAAGUUCGCAUGCGAUGCUGACAGCACUGAACACAUGACUUUUUAUUAUGAACUAGAUGGUCUUCCCAGUGAGUCUCAGUCAUCUCUGGCUUUUUAAACUGUAACCUUGAAACAUGCAUUUCCUGUAAACCUACUUUGAAAUAAGUAUUGUCAAAAGGUGCUAUACUCAAACAACAUUUAACCAUGCAAGUACUGUAGUAAUGGUUAUUUUUGUUUUUACUAUGGGUUUACUGCAAAAGCUGUAGUAAAAUCAUGGUGAUUGUAGUAAAACUAUGGUUGCUUUUGUUUUUUCUAUGGUUUUACUGCAAAAGCUGUAGUAAAAUCAUGGUUAAUGUUCAAAAGACUACAAAUAAUCCCGAAUUAUCCACUUUUGAUCAAAGCAUCUGGUAAAUGUUAUUGUAUUUGUACAUGUAAUAUGAAAUAAAUGAAAAUAUUAAUAAAGUUGCGUCUGUUCUUGA